GUUAGCGCCGUUCCCCUUGUCGGGUCGCCAUCUUUUGUUUCCCGAAGGAAGAAAACAAAGCGAGGAAAGUUUGCGGUAGGGAGCACGACCGUGGCUACCAAGACGGCUGACGGCGCAGUACCCGAGGCGUUUGGCGGGCCCAAUAGUAAACGAACAUAACGGGAUGAUCUGUGGACUGCCCACGAGUACGCACUCAGCAUUGAUGGCAGGCUCAUGGUUCAGAAGAUACCAGACGUCCCUACGGCAGAGGCUGCGCACUCUUUGCGAGUCACUAUUGCUUUAACAUCUGCUACGCUGAAGGCCUGUCAUCGACCCUUGAGUUCCUUCAGAGAGGUUUCCUGAGCAUGAACCCUGACCGUGGCACCAGAGCCAAGCGCUCCAAGUCAGAAGUGAGCAAGAAAGUACUUAACCUGGUCAAGAAAAUAGCAGAGCUGGAGUGGAAUGUGUGAGGCUGUUGGUCAUCCUAUGUGGGAACGAGGCAUGCAACAUGGAGCUCGAGCUCAUUCAACACAAGGUCUUGGCACCAGGAAGAUUUCAGCAGCCAUAAGCAAUGGCACUUGGGUCUAAAUUUGAUCAGGGUAUAUGGACCUGGGUCCUCAUCAUCCAAGUAAAUAAAUGUUCUGUUUUUAUUUCUAUCCUACACAUAAUUUAUGCUGUGUUCUGGCUUAAUUGCAUUUGCCUGUACAUACACAACGAUCGCAUUGCAGACAUGAAGACCACGCUACAAUUACAAUAAACAGCAUGCCACAUAUAUUACAG
Molecule: long non-coding RNA, 759 nt
Filed under: Ixodes scapularis (black-legged tick)
Lineage: Eukaryota; Metazoa; Arthropoda; Arachnida; Ixodida; Ixodidae
Description: uncharacterized LOC115326329
Source: RNAcentral